CAGGAUUUGAGCUGUGGUCAACCAUGCGGGAUCUGGCUCUCUUAACCACUAAGCUCUUGGACUAGCUCUGAAUUCCUUCCUUGUUAAGGAUAAAUCUGCCUCUGAGUAGGCACCUCUACCUACUCAUCCUCCAUUGCUUGGGUCCCCAGGUCAAAGCUGCUGUCUCUGAGAAGUAAAGAAUGGUAAGUAAUAUUUAGAUAAUACUCAAAAUUCACAGAAACGCCAGAUCUUACCUCCAGUAAGGAUUUAUUGUUUUAAAAAAUAAUUGGUAUUUAAAUUGUAGAAUACAAGCAAAUCACUUCUUUCUCUAACAAUUUGAAAUAUAGGGGUUUAAAUGUUAUAUACUUUUGUCAAAAUAGUAAUUAACCAUAGAUGACAGAUGCUGCUCCCUACUCAAUGGAGGGUCUCAAAUUUUACUCUGCAUCUCAUUGGGAAGGAAAUAUAAUUUUUUAAAAUAGAAUUAACUUGGGAAAAGGCAUCAGUGCUGCAACUCUUAGCACCAAAUGUUUUUUCUUGGAGCACCAAAUGCUUUAAGGAAAACAUUCCAAGUAUCAAAGUUUUCAGAUAGAUAAAUAUUUAUGGAUCAAAUCCAUAAAGAACAGACAUUGUUAUGAAAUAUAUAUAGAUGCCUUCAAAACUUUCUUUCUAGGCAGAGUAGACACAUAAGUUAGGAGUCAUUUCCCACUUAAUUGUUUUUGCAACCUUAUGCAACACAAAUGGAUUAUGGAAGACUUAUUCAUUUAUACACAGAACCUAGAUCUUGACUGACAUCAUGUCCAGAAAAUUAAACAGGAGCUAUUUCUUUCUUUAAAAAAAUAAAACACCAUUAAAUUUAUAGAAAUGGCUUUAUUCUAACCUAGUUUUCUGGUUGAAAUGUAUGCAGACUUUUUAUCUCAUCCUUUGGUAAGGAAACUGUACCCCUUACAUUCUUCUCAUUUGCUAGUUAAUAUAAUCAGAGAAAAGCAUAAUGUAGAUCUGGUUCAUAUCUUUAAGGACAAUAAAAUUCCACCUAUCUUUGAACUUUCUAAAUGGUGUGUUUUUAGACUACAUAUAGAUAACUGCCUCUCCUUCAUUGUAUUUGCAUUACAACGUACAGAAAGCAAUUUUGCCAUUUAGAGAUUUAUUUACAUUGCUCAUGUGGCAAAAUGUAGGUAUGCUAUAUGAUGCUAGAGAAAUUUCAAGAAACUGCCAAAGACAUAGUUUCUGUAGUAUCCUUGAUGCUCUUAAAAGACCAUUAAAGGGUGUGCAUUGAUCAGAAAUGAGGUGUCCAUUUGAGAAAGUAGCAGAAAGUCCUGUUCCAGAGGUAAGUGAGAAUAAAGGUCUAUAAAAAACUCAUUGCAAAGAGAGUUGGGUGUGUUAUUUCAGACUCCCAAGUUACAUUUUCACACAAAGGUACCACCAAUAGUAUCAUCUAUGAACAUGAAGGACAUUUUGGAACCGAAUACAAUUCUGUCCCUGAAACUAACCAGCACAACUGUAUAUUCAACCAAAGAAGACACGUGAGGUGGAAGAAAAUGGUAGCCCAGGCACAGGUAAAAAUUUUAUUUAUGAAUAUGUGAACACAUGACUUUGGAUCCAGCCAGCCAGUGACAUAAAUAAACUUGAGCAAAAGAUUCAAGCUAGAGGAUA
Long non-coding RNA from Tupaia belangeri chinensis (Chinese tree shrew), 1629 nucleotides. RefSeq lists it as uncharacterized. The record is from RefSeq and is a predicted model, not a curated record. NCBI's taxonomy places the organism in Eukaryota, Metazoa, Chordata, Mammalia, Scandentia, Tupaiidae. The transcript is spliced from 2 exons.